AUACUCGGGUAAUCGCUGUAUGGUGUAAAGCUGUACAGAGGAAAGUCCAUGCUCGCACAAACUGAGAUGUUUGUAGUGUUCGUGCCUGACGAAACCAUAAGUCAGGGUAGUCAAUAGACUAACGGCAGGGAAAGUACCUAAGUCCUUGAUUGGAUAAGGUAUAAAUACCUUGAAAGUGCCACAGUGACGUAGUCAAAACAGAAAUGUUUUGGGUGGAACGAGGUAAACCCCUCGAGCGAGCAACCCAAAUUAAGGUAGGGGCACUCUUUGACGGGAAUUCAACCAGUAAAGAGGCUGAUUCAUCAGCAGAUAGAUGAUUACCACCGGAGUACGAGGUUGACCGCCGCUUGUAGUACGAUGGAACAGAACAUGGCUUACAGAG
Molecule: RNase P RNA, 382 nt
Filed under: Halobacillus salinarum
Lineage: Bacteria; Bacillati; Bacillota; Bacilli; Caryophanales; Bacillaceae
Description: Halobacillus sp. SSBR10-3 RNase P RNA component class B
Rfam family: Bacterial RNase P class B
About the family: Ribonuclease P (RNase P) is a ubiquitous endoribonuclease, found in archaea, bacteria and eukarya as well as chloroplasts and mitochondria. Its best characterised activity is the generation of mature 5'-ends of tRNAs by cleaving the 5'-leader elements of precursor-tRNAs.
Source: RNAcentral